Long non-coding RNA from Maniola jurtina (meadow brown), 138 nucleotides. RefSeq lists it as uncharacterized. NCBI's taxonomy places the organism in Eukaryota, Metazoa, Arthropoda, Insecta, Lepidoptera, Nymphalidae. The record is from RefSeq and is a predicted model, not a curated record. The transcript has 4 exons.
AGAGGGUAAAAGUAUAACAAACUGUUGUCACAAUUUGACGAAUCACUGAGCUCUCGCGUCACGUCAUCACACCCUUCCGCACCCCUCCACUACCGCAGGAACCUACUCAGUUAAGCGUUAUGCCUGUAGUAGUAUAAU